GAUGAACGCUGGCGGCGUGCCUCAAACAUGCAAGUCGAGCGGGGCUAUGUAAUAUCGCAAGGUAGAACAUAGCCUAGCGGCGAACGGGUGAGUAACACGUGGGUAACCUGCCUGGAAGACAGGGAUAACGAUUCGAAAGGGUCGCUAAUACCUGAUAAUAUCCUUUCAUCGCAUGGUGAUAGGAAGAAAGGGGAAACCCGCUUUCAGAUGGGCCCGCGUCCCAUCAGCUAGUUGGUAAGGUAAAGGCUUACCAAGGCGACGACGGGUAGCCGGUCUGAGAGGAUGUACGGCCACACUGGGACUGAGAUACGGCCCAGACUCCUACGGGAGGCAGCAGUUGGGAAUCUUAGGCAAUGGACGAAAGUCUGACCUAGCGACGCCGCGUGAGGGAAGAAGGCCCUCGGGUUGUAAACCUCUGUCAUGGGGGAAGAAGUAAGUGACGGUACCCCAAGAGGAAGCCCCUGCUAACUACGUG
RNAcentral lists this ribosomal RNA (475 nucleotides) under uncultured bacterium. RNAcentral describes it as "bacterial SSU rRNA". It matches the Rfam family "Bacterial small subunit ribosomal RNA", at positions 28 to 507 of the family's 1533-position model. The record is from RNAcentral.